Long non-coding RNA from Nematostella vectensis (starlet sea anemone), 448 nucleotides. RefSeq lists it as uncharacterized. Lineage: Eukaryota; Metazoa; Cnidaria; Anthozoa; Actiniaria; Edwardsiidae. The transcript has 2 exons. The record is from RefSeq and is a predicted model, not a curated record.
GCUUUGUGCAGAUUUUUCUUGCCGGGUGAUCACAUGGCUCCCUGGCUGAUCUGGCAUAAAGGGCCCACUGGAUAUUCAACACUGCUUCUUUGGGACAGGACAGGGUAGCUUGCUUGUUUGAGCAAGUGAAGAAACGUAUUACGCCUUUACCAUCUCUAAUAUCAAAGUGUGUGUGGGCUGGACUAAAUUCUCCGAAACGCUAGGCGGAAUGAUGACUUACUUGCCAAGCAGGUCCGGUUGCUUCUCGGACAGAUACAUGUGUGAGAAGAUGACCCGUCAGACAUGAAGUCCGCGGCACAAAGAGAACCAGCGGGGCAUGGGCCCGACAAGCACGCGGUCUAGCCAAGAAGAAAAUAUCACCAUAGAAAAAGUAUACACUGAAUCCUUGUAUGUGAAAGCCUUUUGAAUGUUCAUAAGAACAUGAGCAAGAAUUGUACAGCUUUUGAAA